This is a long non-coding RNA of Mustela lutreola (European mink), 3642 nucleotides long. RefSeq lists it as uncharacterized. Lineage: Eukaryota; Metazoa; Chordata; Mammalia; Carnivora; Mustelidae. The record is from RefSeq and is a predicted model, not a curated record. The transcript has 5 exons.
CUCUCAGUUUCCUGCUAUUCUCUGUUCUUUGGAGAUGGAUUUCCCGGGGCGGGGAAGUCUCAAGAGUAAUACACUGAGAUGGAUUUGGGAGUACAAGGUGUUUAUUGGUUGUGGACAUUUGUGCAAGGCACAGGACUGGGCAGAGGGAGAAGGUGAACCUCAAUACAGAACAACCUGGCAAAGUGCUCUAGAGCUAUCUGUCCAACAGCAAGGUCUUCCAUGAGGCUACAGUGAAGAUCCUUUAUGUCACUGCCUUGCUCAGUACUAAUGAAUAGAAGGCUAUGAUUCCAGGCAAAGUGGUUUUCUAUAGCUUGGGCUGACCCUGGAGGAGCUGACAGCUGGAGAUGACCUGCUGACCGUACUCCUUUCUUGCAGGGGAUCUGGGCUGUGGGUUCCUGCAUCUGUCACAAUGAGCGGGCACAUAACUCUUAUAGAAGAGCAUGGAAAGGACAUCAAAAGGGAGGUGACACCAAAUCCUAAAGGAUUUUUCCUAAAGGAGGAGGGCAAGGGGCAUUUAGAGCUGAGAGUUAAAAUCAGGAAAGAAAAAAAAAGGGUUAGGAAUUCCAACGGUGGGAGAAAGACAGGAAGCAAACUCAAGGAAUGGCUGCACUGGCAUCUCAUCUCCAUGGACUUUCUGUAACCAUCAUAGUUCCUGGCAAGAUAAAGGCUUGUCUUUCCCAUCAUAACCCCUCCUCACUGAGGGGAUCUCCAUCAGGGUCUCCUAAGUGCUCCCUAGAAAUUUUCUGUAAUACACAACUUAGGCUAAAAACUGGACCUAAAAAUGCAGUAAGUUGGGCAAACAGAGGAGCAAAUCUGUUCUGUAACUUUCUUGGCAAAGAGGGUGCACUAGGAACAUGGGACCCUGAGUUAGGAGACAUUAAGAAGUCUGCGAUCGGCAUCAAGUAGGACUCUGCAAAUAAUUGAAUCUCCAUCAAUAUUCAAGCUCAGGGCUCUGGUAUGUGAGAGAGUGAGGAAAAAUGGGGAGCAAGGGGGAGCAUGACCAGCCCUGCUGCGCCAGGGGCCGUGGCGAAACUAGGGGCAUUUCAUUUAUUCAUGCAUCUGCACGUCCUGCCCCCCCAUUUGUGCAUCCAUCCAACCAUCCAUCUAUUCCCUUGUACAUUAAAUAUUCACAUGAAAGAAAGUGUUUGACUUCCCUCUCACUUCCUUCUUUUUCCUGUCAAAACCCUUUGCAGAGAAGAGAUCAUUAGUAAGACAGAGUAAAGACAUAAAGUUUGUGUCAGCACAAAAAUGCAUCAAAGGGUUAUUAAGAAAGCUGGUCGGUGUCAGGAAGAGAAGUGCUGAUUUAGCUUGUUGAUGUUACACUCUGAAGACUUGAAAAGGCCUUAGAGCUUGACAGACUUAAUGCCGCCCCUUUGGGUUGAAGCUAAGAUUCCAGGCAGGGGAGGGGGAAGUACAGGUGGGAAAUGGGUAUCGGGGGAAAAAAAAAAAAACAAGGGGAAGGCAAGGGAGGAAGAAAGGCCCUAAAUGCCAAAUGUCUGUGUGAACUAGACUCUGGCGUGGGAGAUGGUGACAUGGGAAAAUAAAUAUUCCCAUCAUGUUUAUGUACACCCAGCCAUGGAAGGGAUUUUCACUGUGAUGAUGAGAAAUAUCCACCAGCUCAUCCAGACGUGUUGUUCAAACUAUAACCAAGCUUGCCUAGGCACUGGAGACACCAGCAUGGAUUGAGACCCAGUACCUGCAAUGGAUCACUCAUAUCCUGAGAGAGGUGACAGAUAAACCCAGAAGCAUAAUGAAGGACAGCUUGGUACUUCUCCCAGGUGUGGACUUUCAAGAAGACUUCCCAGAGGAGCAUAAAUUAAGACAGUGAAGCAGGAAUUUACUGGCAUUUACUUAAGAGAAAUGAAGGCACUUCCUUCAUGAAUUUUGGAGAAAGUUUGGCCUGACUUACAAGGAAACCCCUUAAUUGUCCCUUAAAAGUAGAAUGGCGUCAUUGUGGAUAAGACAUGGGGUUCAAAUAGCUCCCUGGGGGCUGGACUCUUGGAAACUCAGUAGGAUUUUAAUUUGGUACAUAAAAUCGUGAUUCUGCCAUGAUUGAUGGUGUCUUAGAUCCAGUCACAUGUGGAAUGCCGAGCACCUGUGCUGAGCCGGAUUCUGUGUCAAGUCCUCCAAUAGAUCACUCAGGAUUCCAAGUGAUAAUAACUCUUUAAGAAAACUGGAGACCCAGUUCUCUACAAAGCAAAACCAUGGCCCUUCACAGCUCCAGAGUGCAGCAUCUUAGAAUGUUGGUAUAUAAGACAGGUUGAUGAAACCUUUUCUAACCCAGACCUUAAAAUCCCGGAGAAAGGACUGAUUGGUUCAGGUACCCAUCCUGCUCUCUUCUGGGCUGGGGCAUCAGGUGGAGUCACACAGAAUGAAGCUGGCAAGUCCCACAGUGACUAGGACCUGAGGGACCCAGGGGGCAAGUCCCAGAAAACAGCAGUGGUAGGCAAAACAUCCCUAAAUGUCUGUUCUACAAAGUUAUUGGAGAUGUGCAGAAAUCAUACUUAUAGCAUACCAGAAAAGAAGGGCAAAAUUAUUUGCAGCUGGAGAGAUUGGUGGGAAAUGGAACCAAGAAUGAUCUUGAAGGAUGGCUAUGAGAAGUGUUGGGGGGGGGCUUUUUCUGAGUGGGGAAGCAGCAUGACAAAUAUCUGGUCUCUCUGGGAGCAACCUAUAUAAUAACAUGAAUGCAUAACUGUAAAUUAAAAUUAGCGACAUGGGAGAAAAUACAUAUGAAGAUAUGAAGGAGACUUGAUCUUGAGGAAUGAGGGAUAGUUUCCUUGAAAAUGUGAUAUUCGAGCUGUGAGCAGAAGGAUGAGGAGGAGGACAAAGUGGAGAUCAGCGAUGCUGAAGGGAACAACUCCAGGCAGAAGCAAAACAUAUGCCCAAGAUCCUGCAGUGGGAGGACGCUGGCAAGUUUGUGGAACUAGAUGGACCAGCUGCUCCUGAUCUUUUUUUGGGUCUCAGCUGAGACCUACGAGAGCCCUUGAUGCUACCCUGAUCAGAUCACUUAGAUGCUUAAAACUCUUCAGGUACUCCCUAGCACCUGGAAUAGCACUUCGCAGCCGCAUCAGGGCACAAAUGGCUUAUGGGAUGAUUGAGAUCCUGAUCCCUACUCUUCUGGACCAAGCAUCCUCUGUUUACUGCAGUGUGCCGUACAAAACCAAAAUACGAUCAUUUCAUGUGUGCUACAAUGAGACAAAAGCUGGAAAGUACUGAAGAGAAUAACAUGAAAAUAUCUAGCUUACAACUCAGGUCUCUUCCCUAAUUUUCCUGCUGGACACAUCCAUCACCAUCUCCCAAUUCACCCCCCAGAUAUAAGAGAAGCAUAUGAGGUUCAACGGCGAGCUAGGACAAUGGAAUUCACUUGCAGCCUCCUUACUUGCUUUCAGACUAGAAUUUUUAGGGCCCUCUGUGAGUAGCCUCUUCUUUAUGCACCCACUUUCUCUUCUUUAUGCACAUGAGCCCUAACACAAUUCUUUAACACUGUCUCCCAGCACUCCUUCCACAUUGCCCCAUCCAGCAAAAUUGUCCCACACUUUUGUGCCCUUGUACUGUCCCCCUCUUCCUGGAUUGUCCUAAUCUGAAUCCCUGGGAGUCCUAGUGCUGAGCUAUAUGAAUAAACAUUGUGGAAAAGUAAUUAAA